CUGGAGAUGAUUAAAGCAUAAAAACCACCUGAGUGUCUGUGAAGGUUUUUGUAUUCAUACUGUCUGAUCCAG
Molecule: small nucleolar RNA, 72 nt
Filed under: Labrus bergylta (ballan wrasse)
Lineage: Eukaryota; Metazoa; Chordata; Actinopteri; Labriformes; Labridae
Source: RNAcentral